GACGAACGCUGGCGGCGUGCUUAAUACAUGCAAGUCGAACGGAAAGGCCCUGCCUUUGUGGGGUGCUUGAGUGGCGAACGGGUGAGUAACACGUGAGUAACCUGCCCUUGACUUUGGGAUAACUUUUGGAAACUGGGGCUAAUACCGGAUAGGAGCUCCUGUUGCAUGGUGGGGGCUGGAAAGUUUCGGCGGUUGGGGAUGGACUUGCGGCUUAUCAGCUUGUUGGUGGGGUAGUGGUUUACCAAGGCCUUGACGGGUAGCCGGCCUGAGAGGGUGACCGGCCACAUUGGGACUGAGAUACGGCCCAGACUGCUACGGGAGGCAGCAGUGGGGAAUAUUGCACAAUGGGCGGAGGCAUGAUGCAGCAACUCCGCGUGCGGGAUGACUGCCUUCGGGUUGUAAACCGCUUUCGCCUGUGACGAAGCGUGAGUGACGGUAAUGGGUAAAGAAGCACCGGCUAACUACGUG
This 468-nucleotide ribosomal RNA is filed under the name uncultured bacterium. Its description in RNAcentral is "partial 16S ribosomal RNA". It matches the Rfam family "Bacterial small subunit ribosomal RNA", at positions 28 to 507 of the family's 1533-position model. The record is from RNAcentral.